Molecule: long non-coding RNA, 2140 nt
Organism: Ostrea edulis (European flat oyster)
Lineage: Eukaryota; Metazoa; Mollusca; Bivalvia; Ostreida; Ostreidae
Exons: 2
Source: RefSeq, a predicted model, not a curated record
CCUAAAAUUGUAAAACAUCAAGGAAAGCAGACGGAAGAGUUGUCAGCUGAUUGGAGAACACUUUGGCUGGCGCGGAUCAACAGAUCAGAUUUCAACCCGAGAAACGUCAUUUUAAAGUCAGUUCAGAUCACUUCGUUUCAGGAACAAAGGCUGAACUCUAUGACAAGACUAUUUAAAACCUGACUGGGCACCCUCUCUUAAGUUAGGACCUGUGGAACAAGAUCCAUCGAUAACUUUAUCAACAAAGAAGAAGUACGAGAGAGCCCAAAGCCGUGAUGCAUGAAAAUUGGAAAAGACACUGUCAAAACAGGCACUAGAUUUCCAGGAUGUUGAAAGACUUGAGGAUUGUGAUGUGAACUAUGAACUGUGAACUGUGCAAGUUUAGUUACAUUGGACCACUGGAAGCACUGACACCUAGAGAGGAAGACAAAAGCAAUAAGGAAGACCCAGACCUACUCCACAAGAUGCGUUGUGAACUGCAGAGGCAGUAAAACUGCAAAGAGUGAUGAAGCAACCGAUCCUCCAUGAUAAUUGCACAUUAGUAUCGUGAUAAUGGACAGAUAUCUUCAUUUGAGAACAUGAACCUCAAACCCAGGCCUGGUCAAGUUGAAAAAAUAGUAUUGCAUAAUAUUCUCAUUGAAGGAAAAUCACAUGUCCAUUGCCUUGCCAGGGUGAAAUGGUUAUGCAAAGUAAACGAAACAGUUUGACAUUAUUUUGGUAAACCAGUUGAAGUUUGGAAGGCCAAUAUGUAUGGAUGUGAAGGACCUGCUAGUUUUAUUCCCAUUCAAAGAAUAAAAUCCAAAUUUGUAUAUGCUUUUGAGAACUUUCAAGGAAUUAACACAAUCGUUGUUAUACCACGUGAAAGAUUCUUGUGACUUUGAUAUGCAUGAUAUGAAGCCGGACACAUAUGUUGAUCUGGAUAUAUACAGACACAAUUUGACUACCCAAGUCUGCACAUUACAAAAACUUGUGAAGUCGGGCACAUGCAGCUGAUGUGUGAAACCGGACACAUAGGUCUACAUAUACAUGCAUGUACAUCAACUAUUUGAUUACAUCAGUCUGCACAUUACAAAAACUUGUGAAGUCGGGCACAUGCAGCUGAUAUGUGAAACCGGACACAUAGGUCUACACAUACAUGUAUGUACAUCAACUAUUUGAUUACAUCAGUCUGCACAUUACAAAAACUGGUGAAGUCGGGCACAUGCAGCUGAUGUGUGAAGCCGGACACAUAGGUCUACAUAUACAUGUAUGUACAUCAACUAUUUGAUUACAUCAGUCUGCACUGCCACAUUACAAAAACUUGUGAAGUCGGGCACAUGCAGCUGAUGUGUGAAGCCGGACACAUAGGUCUACAUAUACAUGCAUGUACAUCCACUAUUUGAUAACAUCAGUCUGCACAUUACAAAAACUUGUGAAGUCGGGCACAUGCAGCUGAUGUGUGAAGCCGGACACAUAGGUCUACAUAUACAUGCAUGUACAUCCACUAUUUGAUUACAUCAGUCUGCACAUUAUAAAAACUGGUGAAGUCUGGCACAUGCAGCUGAUAUGUGAAGCCGGACACAUAGGUCUACAUAUACAUGUAUGUACAUCCACUAUUUGAUUACAUCAGUCUGCACAUUACAAAAACUGGUGAAGUCGGGCACAUGCAGCUGAUAUGUGAAGCCGGACACAUAGGUCUACAUAUACAUGUAUGUACAUCCACUAUUUGAUUACAUCAGUCUGCACAUUACAAAAACUGGUGAAGUCGGGCACAUGCAGCUGAUAUGUGAAGCCGGACACAUAGGUCUACAUAUAUAUGUAUGUAUGUACCCACUAUCUGAUUGCAUAAGUCUGCAUAUUACUUGUGAAACUGGACACAUAGGUCUACAUAUAUACAUACAUACACUCUAUGAUCAUUUUAGUCUGCACAUUACAGAAAAAUGUUUGCAUAGCAAAUACUAUUCAGGAAGGGUGAUAAUAUUCUUGCAAUGUAUACGUUUUCAAUCUAAUUUGAAGUGUUUAUUUUCCUGAUCUUAUAAGUAUUUUUGUAGUUAAUUAUUUAUUGACUGUAAAGUGUUACAUUAAGAUGGUAUUUAUUAUGUACAGGAAGCAGUUUUUUUAAUUUAUUUUGUAAUUAAAAAGUAUAUUAAUUUGAAGAAAA